Molecule: ribosomal RNA, 253 nt
Filed under: uncultured bacterium
Lineage: Bacteria
Description: partial 16S ribosomal RNA
Rfam family: Bacterial small subunit ribosomal RNA
Source: RNAcentral
UACGGAGGAUGCAAGCGUUAUCCGGAAUGAUUGGGCGUAAAGCGUCCGCAGGUGGCUGUGUAAGUCUGCUGUCAAAGAGCAAAGCUCAACUUUGUAAAGGCAGUGGAAACUACACGGCUAGAGUACGUUCGGGGCAGAGGGAAUUCCUGGUGUAGCGGUGAAAUGCGUAGAGAUCAGGAAGAACACCGGUGGCGAAGGCGCUCUGCUAGGCCGUAACUGACACUGAGGGACGAAAGCUAGGGGAGCGAAUGGG